AUUGAACGCUGGCGGCAGGCCUAACACAUGCAAGUCGAAUGGUAACAGGAAACCGCUUGCUUUUUCGCUGAUUAGUGGCGGACGGGUGACUCAUGUCUGGCAUACUGCCUGAUGGAGGGGGAUAACUACUGACAACGGUAGCUAAUACCUCAUAACGUCUCUAGACUAACGUUUGGGACCUUCGUGCCUCUUGCUCUCAACUGUGCCCAGAUGGGAUUAGCUAGUAGGUGGGGUAACGGCUCACCUAGGCGACGAUCCCUAGCUGGUCUGAGAGGAUGACCAGCAAAACUGGAACUGAGACACGGUCCAGACUCCUACGGGAGGCAGCAGUGGGGAAUAUUGCACAAUGGGCGCAAGCCUGAUGCAGCCAUGCCGCGUGUAUGAAGAAGGCCUUCGGGUUGUAAAGUACUUUCAGCGGGGAGGAAGGGAGUAAAGUUAAUACCUUUGCUCAUUGACGUUACCCGCAGAAGAAGCACCGGCUAACUCCGUG
Molecule: ribosomal RNA, 490 nt
Filed under: uncultured bacterium
Lineage: Bacteria
Description: partial 16S ribosomal RNA
Rfam family: Bacterial small subunit ribosomal RNA
Source: RNAcentral